GCGUUGUCCGGAUUUACUGGGCGUAAAGAGCGCGCAGGCGGUCGUAUAAGUCGCGUGUGAAAGCCCCCGGCUCAACUGGGGAGGGUCACGCGAUACUGUUCGACUCGAAGGCAGGAGAGGGAAGUGGAAUUCCCGGUGUAGUGGUGAAAUGCGUAGAUAUCGGGAGGAACACCAGUGGCGAAGGCGACUUCCUGGCAUGUUAUUGACGCUGAGGCGCGAAAGCUAG
RNAcentral lists this ribosomal RNA (226 nucleotides) under uncultured bacterium. RNAcentral describes it as "partial 16S ribosomal RNA". It matches the Rfam family "Bacterial small subunit ribosomal RNA", at positions 538 to 763 of the family's 1533-position model. The record is from RNAcentral.